CCUACGGGAGGCAGCAGUGGGGAAUAUUGCACAAUGGGCGCUAGCCUGAUGCAGCCAUGCCGCGUGUGUGAAGAAGGCCUUCGGGUUGUAAAGCACUUUCAGCGGGGAGGAAGGCGGUGAGGUUAAUAACCUCAUCGAUUGACGUUACCCGCAGAAGAAGCACCGGCUAACUCCGUGCCAGCAGCCGCGGUAAUACGGAGGGUGCAAGCGUUAAUCGGAAUUACUGGGCGUAAAGCGCACGCAGGCGGUCUGUCAAGUCGGAUGUGAAAUCCCCGGGCUCAACCUGGGAACUGCAUUCGAAACUGGCAGGCUAGAGUCUUGUAGAGGGGGGUAGAAUUCCAGGUGUAGCGGUGAAAUGCGUAGAGAUCUGGAGGAAUACCGGUGGCGAAGGCGGCCCCCUGGACAAAGACUGACGCUCAGGUGCGAAAGCGUGGGGAGCAAACAGGAUUAGAUACCCUAGUAGUC
This 465-nucleotide ribosomal RNA is filed under the name uncultured Klebsiella sp. RNAcentral's name for it is "bacterial SSU rRNA". It matches the Rfam family "Bacterial small subunit ribosomal RNA", at positions 338 to 795 of the family's 1533-position model. The record is from RNAcentral. Lineage: Bacteria; Pseudomonadati; Pseudomonadota; Gammaproteobacteria; Enterobacterales; Enterobacteriaceae.